RNAcentral lists this ribosomal RNA (1019 nucleotides) under uncultured bacterium. Its description in RNAcentral is "bacterial SSU rRNA". It matches the Rfam family "Bacterial small subunit ribosomal RNA", at positions 355 to 1375 of the family's 1533-position model. The record is from RNAcentral.
UGAGGAAUAUUGGUCAAUGGGCGUAAGCCUGAACCAGCCAAGUAGCGUGAGGGAAGACUGCCCUAUGGGUUGUAAACCUCUUUUGUGCGGGGAUAAAGUGUGGGACGUGUCCCAUAUUGCAGGUACCGCACGAAUAAGGACCGGCUAAUUCCGUGCCAGCAGCCGCGGUAAUACGGAAGGUCCGGGCGUUAUCCGGAUUUAUUGGGUUUAAAGGGAGCGCAGGCCGUCCUUUAAGCGUGCUGUGAAAUGCCGCGGCUCAACCGUGGCACUGCAGCGCGAACUGGAGGACUUGAGUACGCACGAGGUAGGCGGAAUUCGUGGUGUAGCGGUGAAAUGCUUAGAUAUCACGAAGAACUCCGAUUGCGAAGGCAGCUUACCGGAGCGCAACUGACGCUGAGGCUCGAAAGCGCGGGUAUCGAACAGGAUUAGAUACCCUGGUAGUCCGCGCGGUAAAUGAUGGAUGCCCGCCGUUGGGAUUUGGAUUUCAGCGGCCAAGCGAAAGCGUUAAGCAUCCCACCUGGGGAGUACGCCGGCAACGGUGAAACUCAAAGGAAUUGACGGGGGCCCGCACAAGCGGAGGAACAUGUGGUUUAAUUCGAUGAUACGCGAGGAACCUUACCCGGGCUUGAAUUGCAGGAGAACGAUCCAGAGAUGGUGAGGCCCUUCGGGGCUCCUGUGAAGGUGCUGCAUGGUUGUCGUCAGCUCGUGCCGUGAGGUGUCGGCUCAAGUGCCAUAACGAGCGCAACCCCUGUCCAUAGUUGCCAUCAGGUCGUGCUGGGCACUCUGUGGAGACUGCCGCCGUAAGGUGUGAGGAAGGUGGGGAUGACGUCAAAUCAGCACGGCCCUUACGUCUGGGGCUACACACGUGUUACAAUGGGGCAUACAGCGAGUUGGAUGUGCGCAAGUACGUCCGGAUCAAUAAAGUGCCUCUCAGUUCGGACUGGGGUCUGCAACCCGACCCCACGAAGCUGGAUUCGCUAGUAAUCGCGCAUCAGCCAUGGCGCGGUGAAUACGUUCCC